GUUUUCUUUUUCUAAUAUUAUUGAUUGUAAUGUAACAGGAUACUAUGACUUCAUUCAAAAUGGCGUCAACAUCCUCAUCUUGCAAUAUUGGCUUCGAUCGUCUACCAUGCCAAUGAGUGUUGAAGAAGAUUUGGAUCAUGUUGAUCAACUUGAAGAAAGUAAAAUAAAAUUGACAAGAUUACCUUAGACAACAACAGUAGCACGACUUUCAAAUCCAAUAUGGAAAUAUAGAUUUUUGAAGAUCUCGUGCAUUUCAGCACUAUAUCUUGGCGAUGGGCUUCUAGUUUUAGGCUUCAACACUACAUCUUGGCAUUGUGGUCGGAAUGUCUGGUUUGGAUUCUUGUUUGGCACUAUAUCUUUUAUUUUUGUAUUGCUUUAACUAUGAAUGAAUGCAUAUUGAUAUUUCAGCUGAAUUGUGCAGCUAUGCGGUGAAUGAAUGAAUGAAUGCAUGGUGAUGUUUUUGCUGUACUGGAGUAAGUGAGUGAAUGAAUGAAUGAAUGAAUGCGGUACUGAAUUGUUAAUUUGUUUUGUUGUGUAGCUCUAACUAUGAGUGAAUGCAUGGUGAUGUUUUUGUUGGUGUUAUCUUUAUUUGCUAGAAUUUUUGUUCAUGAAUUGGUGUUAGCCUUUGUUGGUGUUAA
This is a long non-coding RNA of Diospyros lotus (date-plum), 638 nucleotides long. RefSeq lists it as uncharacterized. The transcript has 4 exons. The record is from RefSeq and is a predicted model, not a curated record. Lineage: Eukaryota; Viridiplantae; Streptophyta; Magnoliopsida; Ericales; Ebenaceae.